Molecule: ribosomal RNA, 309 nt
Filed under: Triticum aestivum (bread wheat)
Lineage: Eukaryota; Viridiplantae; Streptophyta; Magnoliopsida; Poales; Poaceae
Description: partial small subunit ribosomal RNA
Source: RNAcentral
AUGUUAUCUACAGUAUGUCUGAAGCCUAAAUCACCCUCGACGUUUUCUGAACCUGGAGAUGGUUUAUCUUUUAUAUAUACCUUUACUCAUGUGAAAGACAUAGUUGGUGUUGGUGAUUAUCCACCUGCCUACCUAUAUAUACCAAUUAAUUAUGAUGUUGGAGGUACGUCGCUUUGCUUCGAAGGCCCAGAAGGGACCGAUUUAUUAGCUACGGGUGGAUCCAAUUUUAGCUCUUGGCCAUCAUUCGCCUCCAAGGUGAACCAUUAUGUGUCCAAACCUUGUAGAGAAAGUGUUCCAGCAACCUGUUAA